GGAGAGGUGGCAGAGCGGUCGAAUGCACUGGUCUUGAAAACCAGCAAAGGUUAGUAGCCUUUCGUGGGUUCGAAUCCCACCCUCUCCGCCA
RNAcentral lists this transfer RNA (91 nucleotides) under Gammaproteobacteria bacterium. RNAcentral's name for it is "tRNA-Ser". It matches the Rfam family "tRNA". Rfam says of the family: Transfer RNA (tRNA) molecules are approximately 80 nucleotides in length. Their secondary structure includes four short double-helical elements and three loops (D, anti-codon, and T loops). The record is from RNAcentral. Lineage: Bacteria; Pseudomonadati; Pseudomonadota; Gammaproteobacteria.